Molecule: ribosomal RNA, 538 nt
Filed under: uncultured Gammaproteobacteria bacterium
Lineage: Bacteria; Pseudomonadati; Pseudomonadota; Gammaproteobacteria
Description: bacterial SSU rRNA
Rfam family: Bacterial small subunit ribosomal RNA
Source: RNAcentral
UACGGGAGGCAGCAGUGGGGAAUAUUGGACAAUGGGGGGAACCGUGAUCCAGCCAUGCCGCGCGUGUGAAGAAGGCCUUUUGGUUGUAAAGCACUUUAAACGAGGAGGAGGCUGCUAUAGUUAAUACCUAGGGUGAGUGGACGUUACUCGCAGAAUAAGCACCGGCUAACUAUGUGCCAGCAGCCGCGGUAAUACAGAGGGUGCGAGCGUUAAUCGGAUUUACUGGGCGUAAAGCGUGCGUAGGCGGCUUUUUAAGUCGGAUGUGAAAUCCCUGAGCUUAACUUAGGAAUUGCAUUCGAUACUGGGAAGCUAGAGUAUGGGAGAGGAUGGUAGAAUUCCAGGUGUAGCGGUGAAAUGCGUAGAGAUCUGGAGGAAUACCGAUGGCGAAGGCAGCCAUCUGGCAUAAUACUGACGCUGAGGUACGAAAGCAUGGGGAGCAAACAGGAUUAGAUACCCUGGUAGUCCAUGCCGUAAACGAUGUCUACUAGCCGUUGGGGCCUUUGAGGCUUUAGUGGCGCAGCUAACGCGAUAAGAUACC